GAGUUUGAUCUUGGCUCAGGACGAACGCUGGCGGCGUGCCUAAUACAUGCAAGUCGAACGCUUCUUUUUCCACCGGAGCUUGCUCCACCGGAAAAAGAGGAGUGGCGAACGGGUGAGUAACACGUGGGUAACCUGCCCAUCAGAAGGGGAUAACACUUGGAAACAGGUGCUAAUACCGUAUAACAAUCAAAACCGCAUGGUUUUGAUUUGAAAGGCGCUUUCGGGUGUCGCUGAUGGAUGGACCCGCGGUGCAUUAGCUAGUUGGUGAGGUAACGGCUCACCAAGGCCACGAUGCAUAGCCGACCUGAGAGGGUGAUCGGCCACAUUGGGACUGAGACACGGCCCAAACUCCUACGGGAGCAGCAGUAGGGAAUCUUCGGCAAUGGACGAAAGUCUGACCGAGCAACGCCGCGUGAGUGAAGAAGGUUUUCGGAUCGUAAAACUCUGUUGUUAGAGAAGAACAAGGAUGAGAGUAACUGUUCA
This 483-nucleotide ribosomal RNA is filed under the name uncultured bacterium. RNAcentral's name for it is "bacterial SSU rRNA". It matches the Rfam family "Bacterial small subunit ribosomal RNA", at positions 9 to 468 of the family's 1533-position model. The record is from RNAcentral.